GGAUUAGAUACCCUGGUAGUCCACGCAGUAAACGUUGAACACUAGGUGUAGCGGGUAUUGACCCCUGCUGUGCCGCAGCAAACGCAUUAAGUGUUCCGCCUGGGGAGUACGGUCGCAAGAUUAAAACUCAAAGGAAUUGACGGGGGCCCGCACAAGCGGUGGAGCAUGUGGUUUAAUUCGACGCAACGCGAAGAACCUUACCUGGGCUUGACAUCCUGGGAAUGGAUUGGAAACUAUUCAGUGCCCUUCGGGGAACCCAGUGACAGGUGCUGCAUGGCUGUCGUCAGCUCGUGCUG
RNAcentral lists this ribosomal RNA (296 nucleotides) under uncultured bacterium. RNAcentral's name for it is "partial 16S ribosomal RNA". It matches the Rfam family "Bacterial small subunit ribosomal RNA", at positions 775 to 1067 of the family's 1533-position model. The record is from RNAcentral.